Molecule: ribosomal RNA, 253 nt
Filed under: uncultured bacterium
Lineage: Bacteria
Description: partial 16S ribosomal RNA
Rfam family: Bacterial small subunit ribosomal RNA
Source: RNAcentral
UACGAAGGGGGCUAGCGUUGUUCGGAUUUACUGGGCGUAAAGCGCACGUAGGCGGGUUGUUAAGUCAGGGGUGAAAUCCCGGGGCUCAACCUCGGAACUGCCUUUGAUACUGCAAAUCUCGAGUCCGAUAGAGGUGGGUGGAAUUCCUAGUGUAGAGGUGAAAUUCGUAGAUAUUAGGAAGAACACCGGUGGCGAAGGCGGCCCACUGGAUCGGUACUGACGCUGAGGUGCGAAAGCGUGGGGAGCAAACAGG